UACGUAGGGUGCGAGCGUUGUCCGGAAUUAUUGGGCGUAAAGAGCUCGUAGGCGGUGUGUCGCGUCGGCCGUGAAAACCUGCAGCUUAACUGUGGGCGUGCGGUCGAUACGGGCAUCACUGGAGUUCGGCAGGGGAGACUGGAAUUCCUGGUGUAGCGGUGAAAUGCGCAGAUAUCAGGAGGAACACCGGUGGCGAAGGCGGCAUCCUGGACCGGCAUUGACGCUGAGGCGCGAAAGCCAGGGGAGCAAACGGG
Molecule: ribosomal RNA, 254 nt
Filed under: uncultured bacterium
Lineage: Bacteria
Description: partial 16S ribosomal RNA
Rfam family: Bacterial small subunit ribosomal RNA
Source: RNAcentral